GAGGGAUGAUGCUGGGAGGAACUGGGGGAAACAAGUGCCUGAUCUGCCUCUCUCUCAUGCCUCCACUCUCACACUGGAACCCAGAAAGGCAAGGGGACCCACUGGCAUGGUCCACAUCGGGUGACCUCAGGAUGGGUGCAGAGAUGGCUGGAGAAGGGACAAUAUGGAUCCUCUGAAAUUACGCUUGAUGUGUGCGUGAGCAGCCUUCCAAGAAUCAUUGUCAAACAUCCCACAUCCCCACAUCUGGAUUAGGAGAGCUAAUCCAGAAGACCACAGCUGAGUCGCUGUGCAAAGCUGCCUCCCAGCAUUAUUGCCCAUGUCUGCUUUAUAACCGGAAGGUGUCUUGUCUGUUCACCUUUAACCUGGAGGCCCAGACAUUCCUCUCUUUCACUGCCCAGUGACCUCUCCUGCCUCUCCUCUCGUGACUGUGAAUUCUUUGUCCCUGUAACCUGGCUGCCGCAUAUGAGUCUGACCGAAGAUGGAGAGGAGCCCUAGGCUAGAGCAGCAGGUCUGUUUCCAGGACCACAUGCCUCCAGGCCUAGCUGGUAGUCUAGGGGUUGCUGUUUACUGAAGAUGAGAGCAAGGCUUGGACAUAUGGCCUGGAGUGUCUGAACUCCUUUAUGAGAGGUCCCAUUAAAGUGUGGAAUAGAGU
This is a long non-coding RNA of Bos taurus (domestic cattle), 652 nucleotides long. NCBI's taxonomy places the organism in Eukaryota, Metazoa, Chordata, Mammalia, Artiodactyla, Bovidae. The record is from Ensembl.